RNAcentral lists this ribosomal RNA (516 nucleotides) under uncultured bacterium. RNAcentral describes it as "bacterial SSU rRNA". It matches the Rfam family "Bacterial small subunit ribosomal RNA", at positions 28 to 526 of the family's 1533-position model. The record is from RNAcentral.
GACGAACGCUGGCGGCGUGCCUAAUACAUGCAAGUUGAACGCUGAAGACUGGUACUUGUACUAGUCGGAUGAGUAGCGAACGGGUGAGUAACGCGUGGGUAACCUACCUCUUAGCGGGGGACAACUAUUGGAAACGAUAGCUAAUACCGCAUAAUAAUUUUUAACACAUGUUAGGAAUUUGAAAGUACCAACUGGUACACUAAGAGAUGGACCCGCGUUGUAUUAGCUAGUUGGUAGUGUAAUGGACUACCAAGGCGAUGAUACAUAGCCGACCUGAGAGGGUGAUCGGCCACAUUGGGACUGAGACACGGCCCAAACUCCUACGGGAGGCAGCAGUAGGGAAUCUUCGGCAAUGGACGAAAGUCUGACCGAGCAACGCCGCGUGAGUGAAGAAGGUUUUCGGAUCGUAAAACUCUGUUGUCAGAGAAGAACAAGGAUAAGAGUGGAAAGUUUAUCCCUUGACGGUAUCUGACCAGAAAGCCACGGCUAACUACGUGCCAGCCGCCGCAGUAACAC